RNAcentral lists this unclassified non-coding RNA (207 nucleotides) under Hevea brasiliensis (rubber tree). The record is from RNAcentral. Lineage: Eukaryota; Viridiplantae; Streptophyta; Magnoliopsida; Malpighiales; Euphorbiaceae.
AAAAUCCAUCUUUGAACUCUCUACCAGACUAGCAAAAAGCAAUUAAUCAAAAAUGCCAAAACCACAACAGAUAUAUGCACCAAACAAUGUAGAUACCAAUUACCAUUGUUAGUGUCUAUACACUGGGCUUCCCUGCGGCGGUACCGGUGGCAAGCGAUUCGGGGUGCGACGACUCCCAGAGUUCGAACCCGAGCUCGUGUCGCCAUU